CUGAAAGGAAUCUAGAGAGAUAUGAGAGAGAAGAAAGAAAAAAAGAAAAGAAAGGAUUCACCUUGGAGAUAGUUGAUGGGUGAAGAGAGAGAAACGGCAUUUUGGUGGUGAGGCUGCCAAUUCUGUGGCAUCGGAGAAGAGAGAGAAGAAGAUGCAUCCCCUCUUUUUUUCUUCUUCUUCACCAACACCACCACAUUCCAUUAAACCCAACCAAAUUACCCCCAAACCCUAACGAUCAAUCAGCCUUUAUUUUAAAUCAAUUCAGAAGAAUUACAGAACCGAGUUACAAGCAAUCAAUCCCUUGAAUUGCAAAGGGUGCAUGCAUAAUCCGUGUAUUUGGGCAUCCACAUUUUCUAUAGGAAAGGGUAAAAGCCCUUAGAGAGAGAGGGGGGCGUUGCACAGAGAAAAGGGGCAGAUGAGAUCGAGGUUCAGACCUUUUUCGCCGCAGCUGCUGAGAUAAACUGGUGACAAAUAAACGAGAUGAGCAAACCCUAGGGAGCAGAGAGGGGUCUGGCUGAGCGGCGCGGUGCGAAGAGAGGGGUGGCUCAGCGGCAGAAGAAGAACCCAGGGCUCCGACCUUUUGGUCGGAACUUUUUUAACACGGGAGGAAGAACAGUAAAGUGAAGUUCCCCUAUUUUUUUAUCAAAUACAGAAUAUGAACAGUCUGUUCCAAGUUUUUGGAAGACACUUCCUUCUAUCAAACACAGAACAUAAACAAGGUAAG
This 724-nucleotide long non-coding RNA is filed under the name Amborella trichopoda. Its description in RNAcentral is "long non-coding RNA (ATRI_LNC005315)". Lineage: Eukaryota; Viridiplantae; Streptophyta; Magnoliopsida; Amborellales; Amborellaceae. The record is from RNAcentral.